Ictalurus punctatus (channel catfish) is the source of this 1061-nucleotide long non-coding RNA. The record is from Ensembl. Lineage: Eukaryota; Metazoa; Chordata; Actinopteri; Siluriformes; Ictaluridae.
AGAAACCCUCAUAGAAUUUGUAAUGGUUAUAAUGGGAAUUAUAUUGGUUUUAAUGGAAACUGUAAUGGUCCCUGUGGACCUCUACCGGUAAUUUGUUGUUGUUUCUAAUGGUGGAAUGUUCUGUUCUGUUUCGCUGAUGGUUUGUAAUGGUGUUUGUAGUGGAAACCAUUAGAAUUUCUGUCAUGGUUUCUGUUGAUAUUGUUGUUGUUUUUUUGGAUAACAGCAGAACUGAUUAUAUUUACAGGUAACUGCAGAAUUCUGGUGUUAGGCUUUUGUUCUUUAUUGUAGCGAAUAUCUCAACCGAGUGUAACUUAAACGAGCUACAAUGGAUUUUUAUUUUUAUUAUUUUUAAGUGAUGAGCAUACCAAAGUACGAUGAUUUGAUUUUUCUUUUCUUUUUUUAAAGCUGUGAAUGGAGGUACGUGAUGUUGACACUACUGUUUAGAUUUAACACUAAAGAACUGUUUUCUGGCUCCAAAGCGCUUGAACAAGAUAACCCAACAUGGCUCGUGCUGAAAGAGUGACCGAGGGACCUGUUAGCUUCCGUUUACUAGGGUGUGUGUGUGUGUGUGUGUGUGUGUGUGUGUGUGGAUUGAUUUUGGAGCUGUAAAGUCUUAUGAAUAUGACUGUAUUGGGGUUUUUUUUGUGUGUUUUUACACUGUUUCAUUCUGAGGUGUGUUGAUUUGUGUGUGCAUGUUCAUUAUUUGUGUGUGUGUGUGUGUGUGUGUGUGUGUGUGUGUGUGUGUGUGUGUGUGUGUGUGUGUGUGUGUGUGUGUGUGUGUGUGUGUUGAAUGUAGCUGGGAGGUGAUGACGGGUCGACACUUGGGUUGUACACCAUGUUAAUGUUCAGCGUUUUUUUUUCCCCCCUGCAAUAAACAUCUGACGGAUCCAGACAUCAGAACGCGUCUGGAGUGUGUGUCGUUAUUGAGUGUUCAUCAGUUUACUUCCUGCCCCUGUCGAGACACGUUUAGAGAACAUCACACGACGCUGCUGCGGCUCAGCUCUUCACACAUUCUGACCAAUCAGAACUAAGUUUUCUAGAACCGCAGCUCCGACCGUAGC